UGACUGACAGACUUCUGCAUCCUCGCGCGCCCCACGUGUUGAUGCAACGUGACUGUGCUGUUGCACUUUUCUCGCCCCCUCUUGUCUCCCUUGCGUUGGUGUUUGUGUGUGUGUGCGUGCGUGCUGCUGUGGAUGUGCUUCCCUCACCUCUGCUGAGAUACAGCAAUCGACCCCUUCCCCCCCCCCCGCCCCCAACACACACACACACGCACACACACAGGCAUACCUACAAUCCACAAACGCACAUAGAAGAGGUACAUGCUUUGCGCAUCAAGAGUGACCACAUAACCGCCACGGAAGCAGUGCUGCCGCCACCGUCAUCAUAGACCCCUCCUUUAUGCACGCGCAGAGACGCAACCAAACCUCCCUUGUGUACGUGGCCGCGUAGCUCAAGCCUGAUGGAGACUAUCGCGGUAGAAACAGGUCCGUGCGACCUCUAUCAUGCCCUCGGAUCCGUUCCGUCUGGCGACCCGUCACUGAAAGAAGCCACCCUGCUCUGCGUUGCCUCAAGUGCGUGUUCCUGCGAAGCGGCGCCAUCUGCCAACGAAGCACACGACACCACCGCAGCGAGCAUUUCUUGUGGUGCUGGCGCUCCCGCUUGGCUCUCUGCGACAGUGACGUGCACGUUGGACGUGCUCAUCCAGGUGCAUCCUUCUCUCUCACGAGGCAGGUUUGCCGAUUUCCUAGGUGGAUGCCAUGGCGUCACCGUGAAAAAGUCGGAACCGCACUUCGCGCGCGUCACCUGCUGUAACGCUCGUGACCUUUGUGAGCUACACGACGGACUCAUCAGACUACCGCUCUCUCCUGCGGACGUUGUCGCCACGGAUGUGAGCACCUGCAGCACUCGUGUGAAAGCUGCCAACUUGUCAAGCGUGUGGUCAGGCCAAAGUGCGCGAGGCAGGGGUGCUCAGAGCAGCACCGUCGGUAGCACUGGCGGCCGAGCCAUGGAGACGGCGAUUGCGAGUGCUGCAGAGGCGAAUUGUUGCUCCGCGCACGCGGUCUGCUGCGCCCCUGAGUAUCUUGCGGUCCUCAGUGAGAUGAGGUCGGCGUGUGUGGCCAGGAGCCUGCCGACUGUCGCCCUUAUCGUUCGAUUUCCGCAGCGGUGCCGUCGUGCGCUCGUACUGCUGCGCCCCACGGUCAGCAGGCGGCACAAGAAGUAUAGAGUGGCCUACCAUGCAUCGCUGCGCUUCGUCAGCGAGAGCAUGCAGCGCGUGGCGCUGAUGCCAAUGGGGGACGCAGCUGUGCUGCUGGCCGAUACGUUCAUUCACGACGCUGCGCUAUCUGCGUGUGCGUUCACCGAGGACAGCGGUGCCUCGGCGACGCUGGUAUUGCGCGGGAGCUAUCUCUCCCUGCACGAUGGAGAGCAGCAAAGUGGUGCGCUGCAGCCGCUGCUCCUUCAUCUUGGGCUGCGCGGUGCGCCAGCUCGACGGCGCGUCCUUCGGUCUCUGCUGCGUUGCCGCGUCACAGGGGCGUGGCAUCGUCUGAGGUCCCCCGCACGCGGCGCCAGUCGAGCGCCGUACUGCCGUCCUGUCGUCUCGGAGCUCGUGCUCUACACCAGCGGAGGCCACAUACUGGUGUUUGAGCUUUUCAUGGCCGACGGGGCGCACGAAGCGCUGACUUUGGCGGGCAAAGAAGACCCAUCUAUGACUGUCGUCUACACAUGCUGCGUCGGAACUCGUCUGCUGUUCUCGAAGCUUGACGCUUCCGCAGCCGCAGAAUCCAUUGCAGUCUCUCGACCCGGUGAUUAUGUCUGCGGCGGCGCGCUCCUCGUCGCACCGCCGUGGGGAUUUGCCGACCGGUGGCGCCACUCUCCAUGGAUGGAAAGGGCGCUCACGCUCGCCACAACACCGUCUGUCGCUGUAUCGGGCGUGCUCGUCUUGGGCGAGGGAGGCCGUCGCCGUCGCCGGCACCGUCCCUCUUCGGUGCUGGCCAUGAGCCCUAACCGCGGUGUGUGGCUGCUCAGAACAGAUUCGCAGCUCUGCGUGGCGAGCGUUCCCACAGGCACAGGCGCGAUGGGGGAGCACGGUGACGCGGAACCGACUCUCACCACCGCAGUGAAGCUGGAUUCCUCACACGCUCUCCAUGACGUACAGUACGUGGCAUGCGGUGGUCAUGCCGGUUUCUUGCUGCUGUGCCGGCACAGCAGCGCGGGUGCAGCUGAGCCGUGGGACAUGACCUCGGCGAUGAGCCCGGUGACGGUCACCUCAGCCGUUGGCGAUCGCUUCGUCCACUGCUCGCAUUCGCAGAGUCCUCUGCAGCUUCUGUUUCUCUCCCUCACGGCAAUGGGGACGUCUGCUGCUGCUGCCUCCGACGCGGCCAUCUCGCCCUUGUUGCCGGUGCCGCUGAUUUCUUCCUCGAUUCUCGAGUCGCUACCGCCGUCCUUCGCCCAUCCGUCGAGCCGGCUGCGCCUCGUCUGCGCAGUUUCUGCCGCCGACACGCCGGACUCGAUGGUGGCGUCCGAGAACCUCAGCGACACUCUUUACGUUGCCAUCAGCAGUAGUGGCGAUGCUCGUUUCGCGUGGACAGUGACGGUGCGCCUCCCGUCUGUGUGGCCGUCGUGCACAUCGCUGUUCCAGCUCUGUCCCAAAGAGUGUAGCGGAAUCGCCGGAGGAGCAGGCACCGCUACUGGCGGCGCGUGCCAGGCCGCCUCGACGCUUCAGUGGACCGCCCACGCGCUGAGCGCUCUGUUCCCGCACGCAUGUCUGAUGGCAGGUGGUAACGAGGUCAGUGCGUGGAGGACAGCGGUGCAGGGCACCACCGUUUCUUCCCUCAGCAAGGCGUCGCCGUCAGCAGUCGCAUCUGAGGAGGAGUCGCCGCUGGAGACGGCGCUCGAGGCGGCGCUUUUAGAGUUGAACUAUCCGUACAAACACGGAACGACUUCGGCUGCUGCUGCUGCUGCAUUGAAUGCGGCUCUUGGUCGGGGACCCCAUGCGGACGGUGCGGCGUUGUACUACCCCGCGGCUACAGUUGCGUUUCACGACGCGUUGCACGCUCUUCUGCACGCGUGCUUCUGCGGGGAGGCAGCGAGUGCAGCCGGCGCGGUCGCCGUCGUCGCCGGCUUCUCGGCUGCCCUGCGCAUGAGUGGGCUCCUGGCCAGGGGCAGGGACUGCCCUGAUGCCCGUGGUGGCGGCGUCGUGGCCACUAUGCGGAUUGUGGCGUUCUUGCACGGGUGCGCACAGCUUCUCCGACACGCGAUGGAGGACGUGGCGGCUGUGGGUAACGUAUCGGCGCUGCAGGCCUGCGCAUCCCACUUGGCUCAGACGGUGGAAGCAGGCGCAGCGCGAAGGUCAUCUUCGGCGAUGACGGCAACGGCGUGGGAGGUGUGGGGCCUUUUGCUGCAGCCUCUUUUCGACUUUGUGUGGGGUGUCGUGCAGGCGUACGGCGUAUCGGCUGAGGUGGCUGCCGGCCUGCUCGAGUACUGCAGUCCUGCGGUGCGGUCAAUGGUGCAUGCGAGAAGGCAUUGGUGGCCUGAAGGAGGCAGCGCUGUCCAUGACACGAAGCCCGAUAACGCUGCACCACUCAAAGUUCCCGAGGAGACGCCAUGCACGAGUGGACCGGCGGCCCAUGCUGUGUCUGCUGGAUUGUCGGCGCAGCACGACGGUGUCGCGUCACCUUCCGGACAACACACUUCUGUGCCCACUGCCAUGUCAGUUUCCCCGGCUGCCGCGGCGACAGCGUCAGCAUCAUCGUGCACGAGUGCGGAACUGUACGAGUUGGUGCGUCGAGUGUUUCUCGCGCAGGGUGCCUCAGCAGCGCUGGGUCUGCUUGGCGAGCUGCAGCGACACGACAGCACCAAAGCCGGUGUGGCGGAAAUGGCGCAGAUGUUGGAGGCGAUGCAGCGCCGGCUUCAGGGGGCCGCCGUAUGAGGGCAGCGGGCCACGCGGGUGAGGGUCUGUGUGUGUGUGCGCGCUUUUUCGCCCAUUUCUGCCUCGCACCUCCUCCACAGCAUCCGCAGAAGCGUCGUGGGAGGGGGGCCCUUUGUGUGCCACGUGGCGCAACGCCGCGGUAGGACGACAUCUAUCUGACACCCCACACCCAUGCAUCCAACAUACAUUCUGCAAUGGACGCACAGCCACAAAAGACAGGGGGAGCGACCGACGCCUGCUCAUAUGCUCGGGGGCAACACGCCGGAUGCCGCACAGCCGAACACACAAGCGCGGGUGUGAAUGGAGGCCUCUGCACUGUACGAGAGUGCCCCCCCUCCCACAUUCCCCAACACCCACUGCUCCUCUCCUCUCCGCUCACAUAUUGCCUUAUUCUGAUCACCUGUGCUUUCACUUUUCGCCCGCCCUCGCCCUUCUUAAUUCUGCCCUGCCCCUCUCGCUCUCCCUCUCCGCGCACACGCACGUCAUUGUCGUCCCGGACUCUCGCUCUCUUCGGAAAUUGAGAG
RNAcentral lists this unclassified non-coding RNA (4390 nucleotides) under Leishmania donovani. RNAcentral describes it as "gene:LdHU3.26.0670(CDS-product:hypothetical_prote in_conserved)". The record is from RNAcentral. Lineage: Eukaryota; Euglenozoa; Kinetoplastea; Trypanosomatida; Trypanosomatidae.